RNAcentral lists this ribosomal RNA (396 nucleotides) under uncultured bacterium. RNAcentral's name for it is "bacterial SSU rRNA". It matches the Rfam family "Bacterial small subunit ribosomal RNA", at positions 362 to 773 of the family's 1533-position model. The record is from RNAcentral.
UAUUGCGCAAUGGGCGAAAGCCUGACGCAGCAACGCCGCGUGCAGGAAGAAGGGCUUCGGCUCGUAAACUGCUUUUCUGAGGGACGAGCAAGGACGGUACCUCAGGAAGAAGUCUCGGCUAACUACGUGCUAGCAGCCGCGGUAAAACGUAGGAGGCGAGCGUUAUCCGGAUUUACUGGGCGUAAAGCGCGUGCAGGCGGUUUGGUAAGUUGUGCGUGAAAGCUCCCAGGCUCAACCGGGAGAGGCCGUGCAAGACUGCCCGACUAGAAGUAGAGAGAGGCCAGUAGAAUUCCGGGUGUAGUGGUGAAAUGCGUAGAGAUCCGGAGGAAUACCAGAAGCGAAGGCGGCUGGCUGGCUCUAACUUGACGCUCAGACGCGAAAGCAUGGGGAGCGAAC